This 504-nucleotide ribosomal RNA is filed under the name uncultured bacterium. Its description in RNAcentral is "partial 16S ribosomal RNA". It matches the Rfam family "Bacterial small subunit ribosomal RNA", at positions 30 to 523 of the family's 1533-position model. The record is from RNAcentral.
AUUGAACGCUGGCGGCAGGCCUGACACAUGCAAGUCGAACGGUAGCACAGAGAGCUUGCUCUCGGGUGACGAGUGGCGGACGGGUGAGUAAUGUCUGGGAAACUGCCCGAUGGAGGGGGAUAACUACUGGAAACGGUAGCUAAUACCCCAUAACGUCGCAAGACCAAAGUGGGGGACCUUCGGGCCUCACACCAUCGGAUGUGCCCAGAUGGGAUUAGCUAGUAGGUGGGGUAAUGGCUCACCUAGGCGACGAUCCCUAGCUGGUCUGAGAGGAUGACCAGCCACACUGGAACUGAGACACGGUCCAGACUCCUACGGGAGGCAGCAGUGGGGAAUAUUGCACAAUGGGCGCAAGCCUGAUGCAGCCAUGCCGCGUGUAUGAAGAAGGCCUUCGGGUUGUAAAGUACUUUCAGCGGGGAGGAAGGCGGUGAAGUUAAUAGCUUCACCGAUUGACGUUACCCGCAGAAGAAGCACCGGCUAACUCCGUGCCAGCCGCCGCCGUAA